GAUGAACGCUGGCGGCGUGCCUAAUACAUGCGAGUCGAGCGAACGGACGAGAAGCUUGCUUCUCUGAUGUUAGCGGCGGACGGGUGAGUAACACGUGGAUAACCUACCUAUAAGACUGGGAUAACUUCGGGAAACCGGAGCUAAUACCGGAUAAUAUUUUGAACCGCAUGGUUCAAAAGUGAAAGACGGUCUUGCUGUCACUUAUAGAUGGAUCCGCGCUGCAUUAGCUAGUUGGUAAGGUAACGGCUUACCAAGGCAACGAUGCAUAGCCGACCUGAGAGGUCGCUCGGCCACACUGGAACUGGUACACGUUCCAGACUCCUACGGGAGGCAGCAGUAGGGAAUCUUCCGCAAUGGGCGAAAGCCUGACGGAGCAACGCCGCGUGAGUGAUGAAGGUCUUCGGAUCGUAAAACUCUGUUAUUAGGGAAGAACAUAUGUGUAAGUAACUGUGCACAUCUUGACGGUACCUAAUCAGAAAGCCACGGCUAACUACGUG
This 497-nucleotide ribosomal RNA is filed under the name uncultured bacterium. RNAcentral's name for it is "partial 16S ribosomal RNA". It matches the Rfam family "Bacterial small subunit ribosomal RNA", at positions 28 to 507 of the family's 1533-position model. The record is from RNAcentral.